CCCACAUCCGUAAUGCCCGUAGGAUUUAGAGUGCUUCCAUCCAACGAUUCAGAUGAGUCCCCCAUAUAAGUAAAGUAGUCGAUUGGAAACAGAGACUGUGGGUAAAUUUAAUAAAAAAUUAAAUAACCCAAAACUGUUAAAAAAUAAGGGAUUGAAUCAGUGUGGAGAGGAGAUAGUCAAAUUCGUACCGAAAACCCAAAAAUUCCUGAAAUCAUUUCCAGACAUAGUAAAAUCAGAUCAUGAAAUUAAUUUCCAAUUGAAGUGCAGUCGUAUGAGGCUGAAGUAAAUUUGAAAUCGCUGAGAGAAAUUGAAGACGAUUAUAUCAGUGUGGCAGCCAACGGAGGCCAACAUUGGGCGGAGCCAAAACGCUAGGAAUUGGGCAAAUGUAAUUAUUCGGAAAAAGGAUGGAAAGAAGCCUGUUUCAUCCGUUCAUUAGCUGUUCGAUUGGAAGCAGCAAGUAACCACUGAUAAGAAAUUUUAAAUUUUAUUUGAAAGGUUUAAUUGUGGUAAUUAGGUUAGGAUUGUCGGUUAUGUUUUUUAUGGAAGAAUUAGAGAAGAGGAGAAUGCUUUCCAGGGAGCAUUAUCUAAUUUCUUUGUAACAAGCGCAGGACAGAAGAAGCAAGAUGAUAUUUGGCAAUUGGAGAAGAAAUUGAAUCCUCCAAGAAAUUUCUCGCCUUUUCCUCUUUCAAUCCACUGCUGCUUGCAAUAUAAUUAAACAUUGACAAUUUGUUGCUUAUAUCACAUCAUCGCACUCUUAUCAAUAAACAUAAUCGUCUUUAGUUUCAUUAAAUUACGAAUAGCAACUCUUUCAACUACAAGGAACCAUUUUUUUCCACGAAUUACCUUCUUCGUUCGGUUCGUAUUGGGC
Molecule: long non-coding RNA, 868 nt
Filed under: Citrus maxima (pomelo)
Lineage: Eukaryota; Viridiplantae; Streptophyta; Magnoliopsida; Sapindales; Rutaceae
Description: long non-coding RNA (CMAX_LNC000402)
Source: RNAcentral